AUUAGUAACUAAAAAUUGCAACCCUGCUACAUUUUUACCAUCCAACAAAUUGACAACAUUGUGGCGGCAAAAAAGCAAUAAUUGUGAUUGAAUUGUGCUCAGUUGGCGGGGAAAUAAACAACAAACGAACAUCGAUUUUCAGACUAAAAUUUUAUAAUAUUUUGCUUUUCUUGCUGUCAAUUUAUGAAAAUCGAAGAAAUUAAAGUGUUGUCCGAGAAGCUGCUGUUCUAGUUGCGAAUUUGUCAAAAAACAAGAAAAUGCUGGUCUUGUCUCACAGCUGAGGUACCAUCCGGUACGGGCAAAGCUGCAAUUGCUCCAGUUAUUGCACAGGAAUUAGGCAAUAAGGUUAAGGUAACAUUCUGCACAUGAUGAGUUCGGAGAUGUUCCGCAGUGACACCUUUGCAACGGAAUUGGAUUUGGAGACCGAGGGUUGGUUGUGUUAUACGUGACACCACAGACACUGCCUCACCUCAUGGCAUUCCCUUGGAUUUACCUGAUCUAUGGCUCAUCAUAGGCAUCUUGCCAUAGCAUUCCAGUGAAAUAUGGAACAACUCAUAAUGUUAAAUGGAGAACCUGCAAUUUGAAGAGUCUGCCUUUAAACGUCUCAAUGACGUUGACUGUCCAGUUGCAUAUUGAUGAUAUUCAUGCCUUAUUCUUGGGUGCAAGACGUUCAUCGAAUCGUCUAUACGAGAAGAAUACAAAAUGUAUGAUGAAAUCUAUGGAAUUGACUCACACUGACAUUAUUUGCUAUAUUUCAUACCUGUCACAUUCCUUACUUACCCACAUAUUUUAGCAAUAAAAAAACAAUAGUUUGCCUGCCAUUA
Long non-coding RNA from Musca domestica (house fly), 824 nucleotides. RefSeq lists it as uncharacterized. NCBI's taxonomy places the organism in Eukaryota, Metazoa, Arthropoda, Insecta, Diptera, Muscidae. The record is from RefSeq and is a predicted model, not a curated record. The transcript has 2 exons.